GCACGGGUGAGUAACACGUGACUAACCUACCCUUGAGUGGGGGAUAACCUAGGGAAACCUGGGCUAAUACCGCAUAAUACCUUCGGGUCAAAGGAGCAAUUCGCUUAAGGAGGGGGUCGCGGCCGAUUAGUUAGUUGGCGGGGUAAUGGCCCACCAAGACUGUGAUCGGUAUCCGGCCUGAGAGGGCGCACGGACACACUGGAACUGAAACACGGUCCAGACUCCUACGGGAGGCAGCAGUGGGGAAUUUUGCGCAAUGGGGGAAACCCUGACGCAGCAACGCCGCGUGGAGGAUGAAGUCCCUUGGGACGUAAACUCCUUUCGAUCGGGACGAUUAUGACGGUACCGGAAGAAGAAGCCCCGGCUAACUUCGUGCCAGCAGCCGCGGUAAUACGAGGGGGGCGAGCGUUGUUCGGAAUUAUUGGGCGUAAAGGGUGCGUAGGCGGUUUGGUAAGUCUUGUGUGAAAUCUUCGGGCUCAACUCGAAGUCUGCAUGAGAAACUGCCGGGCUUGAGUAUGGGAGAGGUGAGUGGAAUUCCCGGUGUAGCGGUGGAAAUGCGUAGAUAUCGGGGAGGAACACCUGU
RNAcentral lists this ribosomal RNA (583 nucleotides) under uncultured bacterium. RNAcentral describes it as "bacterial SSU rRNA". It matches the Rfam family "Bacterial small subunit ribosomal RNA", at positions 100 to 713 of the family's 1533-position model. The record is from RNAcentral.